GAUCAUGGCUCAGGACGAACGCUGGCGGCGCGCCUAACACAUGCAAGUCGAACGAGAGAUGAAGAGCUUGCUCUUCAAAUCGAGUGGCGAACGGGUGNGUAACGCGUGAGGAACCUGCCUCAAAGAGGGGGACAACAGUUGGAAACGACUGCUAAUACCGCAUAAGCCCACAGCUCGGCAUCGAGCAGAGGGAAAAGGAGUGAUCCGCUUUGAGAUGGCCUCGCGUCCG
Molecule: ribosomal RNA, 229 nt
Filed under: uncultured bacterium
Lineage: Bacteria
Description: partial 16S ribosomal RNA
Rfam family: Bacterial small subunit ribosomal RNA
Source: RNAcentral